This 508-nucleotide ribosomal RNA is filed under the name uncultured bacterium. Its description in RNAcentral is "partial 16S ribosomal RNA". It matches the Rfam family "Bacterial small subunit ribosomal RNA", at positions 30 to 523 of the family's 1533-position model. The record is from RNAcentral.
AUUGAACGCUGGCGGCAUGCCUUACACAUGCAAGUCGAACGGCAGCGGGGGAGAAGCUUGCUUUUCCUGCCGGCGAGUGGCGAACGGGUGAGUAAUACAUCGGAACGUGCCCUGUAGUGGGGGAUAACUAGUCGAAAGAUUAGCUAAUACCGCAUACGACCUGAGGGUGAAAGUGGGGGACCGCAAGGCCUCAUGCUAUAGGAGCGGCCGAUGUCUGAGUAGCUAGUUGGUGGGGUAAAGGCCUACCAAGGCGACGAUCAGUAGCUGGUCUGAGAGGACGAUCAGCCACACUGGGACUGAGACACGGCCCAGACUCCUACGGGAGGCAGCAGUGGGGAAUUUUGGACAAUGGGCGAAAGCCUGAUCCAGCAAUGCCGCGUGUGUGAAGAAGGCCUUCGGGUUGUAAAGCACUUUUGUCCGGAAAGAAAUGGCUCUGGUUAAUACCUGGGGUCGAUGACGGCACCGGAAGAAUAAGGACCGGCUAACUACGUGCCAGCCGCCGCGGUAA